CAGAGUUCUCGCCCCUCGCGGGUAGAUCUCCCACCCACUGUUAUCACUACCGUCGUUUCUUUGGCGGGCCGCUGGGCCCUGCCCGGCCGCCGGCUCCGGCUGGCGCGCGCCCGCCAGAGACAACCCAAACUCUGAAUGUUAGUGUCGUCUGAGUACUAUACAAUAGUUA
RNAcentral lists this unclassified non-coding RNA (169 nucleotides) under uncultured fungus. RNAcentral describes it as "sequence contains ITS1, 5.8S rRNA gene". The record is from RNAcentral. Lineage: Eukaryota; Fungi.